GGCCAGCAGCUCAAUGGUAGAGCGUCAGUUUGGCACACUGACGGUCCCAGGUCCAAUCUCCACCUGACCAGAGAGCCA
This 78-nucleotide transfer RNA is filed under the name Sphaerodactylus townsendi. RNAcentral's name for it is "tRNA-Ala". Lineage: Eukaryota; Metazoa; Chordata; Lepidosauria; Squamata; Sphaerodactylidae. The record is from RNAcentral.